UACGGAGGGUGCAAGCGUUAUCCGGAUUCACUGGGUUUAAAGGGUGCGUAGGUGGGCUUGUAAGUCAGUGGUGAAAUCUCCGGGCUUAACCCGGAAACUGCCAUUGAUACUAUAGGUCUUGAAUCAUCUGGAGGUGAGCGGAAUAUGUCAUGUAGCGGUGAAAUGCUUAGAUAUGACAUAGAACACCGAUUGCGAAGGCAGCUCACUACGGAUGUAUUGACACUGAGGCACGAAAGCGUGGGGAGCAAACAGG
Molecule: ribosomal RNA, 253 nt
Filed under: uncultured bacterium
Lineage: Bacteria
Description: partial 16S ribosomal RNA
Rfam family: Bacterial small subunit ribosomal RNA
Source: RNAcentral